CAGAGGUCCCAAGCGUUGUUCGGAUUCACUGGGCGUAAAGGGUGCGUAGGUGGCUUGGUAAGUUUGAUGUGAAAUCUCCGGGCUUAACCCGGAAAUGGCAUUGAAUACUAUCGGGCUGGAGGUUUGGAGGGGGGACUGGAAUUCUCGGUGUAGCAGUGAAAUGCGUAGAUAUCGAGAGGAACACCAGUGGCGAAGGCGAGUCCCUGGACAACACCUGACACUGAGGCACGAAAGCUAGGGGAGCAAACAGGAUUAGAUACCCUGGUAGUCCUAGCUGUAAACGGUGCACAUUUGCUGUAAAAGGAAUCGACCCCUUUUGUGGCGAAGCUAACGCGAUAAAUGUGCCGCCUGGGAAGUACGGUCGCAAGAUUA
Molecule: ribosomal RNA, 372 nt
Filed under: uncultured organism
Description: bacterial SSU rRNA
Rfam family: Bacterial small subunit ribosomal RNA
Source: RNAcentral